GCUGGGUACCCUGUGGUGCGCCUGUAAUCCCAGUGGCUUAGGAGGCUGAGGCAGGAGGAUCCCUAGUUCGAAGUCAGCCUCAGCAAACUUAGGAAGGCCCUAAGCAACUCAGUGAGACCCUGUCUCUA
Molecule: small RNA, 128 nt
Filed under: Marmota monax (woodchuck)
Lineage: Eukaryota; Metazoa; Chordata; Mammalia; Rodentia; Sciuridae
Source: RNAcentral